GUCCGCGUAGCCUAAUGGAUGAGUCGUCUGACUUCCAAUCAGAAGAUUGCAGGUUCGAAUCCUUUCGCGGACG
RNAcentral lists this transfer RNA (73 nucleotides) under Trichonephila inaurata madagascariensis. It matches the Rfam family "tRNA". From Rfam's summary of the family: Transfer RNA (tRNA) molecules are approximately 80 nucleotides in length. The record is from Rfam by way of RNAcentral. Lineage: Eukaryota; Metazoa; Arthropoda; Arachnida; Araneae; Nephilidae.